GACGAACGCUGGCGGCGUGCUUAACACAUGCAAGUCGAACGGAAAGGGUCUGCUUUUGUGGGGUGCUGGAGUGGCGAACGGAUGAGUAACAAGUGAGUAAGCUGCCUGUGACUUUGGGAUGACUAAAGGAAACUGGGGCUAAUAAAGGAUAGGAGCUCCGGCUGCAUGGUGGGGGUUGGAAAGUUUCGGCGGUUGGGGAUGGACUCGCGGCUUAUCAGCUUGUUGGUGGGGUAGUGGCUUACCAAGGCUUUGACGGGUAGCCGGCCUGAGAGGGUGACCGGCCACAUUGGGACUGAGAUACGGCCCAGACUCGUACAGGAGGCAGCAGUGGGGAAUAUUGCACACUGGGCGGCAGCCUGAUGCAGCAACGCCGCGUGCUUGAUGACGGCCUUCGGGUGGUAAACCGCUUUUGCCUGUUACGAAGCGUGAGUGACGGUAAUGGGUAAAGAAGCACCGGCUAACUACGUG
Molecule: ribosomal RNA, 468 nt
Filed under: uncultured bacterium
Lineage: Bacteria
Description: partial 16S ribosomal RNA
Rfam family: Bacterial small subunit ribosomal RNA
Source: RNAcentral